This 477-nucleotide ribosomal RNA is filed under the name uncultured bacterium. RNAcentral describes it as "partial 16S ribosomal RNA". It matches the Rfam family "Bacterial small subunit ribosomal RNA", at positions 28 to 505 of the family's 1533-position model. The record is from RNAcentral.
GAUGAACGCUAGCGGGAGGCCUAACACAUGCAAGCCGAGCGGUAUUGUUUCUUCGGAAAUGAGAGAGCGGCGUACGGGUGCGUAACACGUGUGCAACCUGCCUUUAUCUGGGGGAUAGCCUUUCGAAAGGAAGAUUAAUACUCCAUAAUAUAUUGAACGGCAUCGUUUAAUAUUGAAAGCUCCGGCGGAUAGAGAUGGGCACGCGCAAGAUUAGCUAGUUGGUGAGGUAGCGGCUCACCAAGGCGAUGAUCUUUAGGGGGCCUGAGAGGGUGAUCCCCCACACUGGUACUGAGACACGGACCAGACUCCUACGGGAGGCAGCAGUGAGGAAUAUUGGUCAAUGGGUGCAAGCCUGAACCAGCCAUCCCGCGUGAAGGACGACUGCCCUAUGGGUUGUAAACUUCUUUUGUAUAGGGAUAAACCUACCCUCGUGAGGGUAGCUGAAGGUACUAUACGAAUAAGCACCGGCUAACUCCG